AUUAACCUUUAUUAAAUUCGAAUCUAAAGACACGUGGAUGGAAAUUCAAAUUCGUAGGCGUUACGUUUUGGCUGUCGGUCAGGAAUCGGGAUGCAUUGAUAAGUGAAUAUUAUAGAUUUUCUUGAACAAAAAGGUAGUUAAAGUGUUGGACAUGCUCUCAAAGGUCGGAGGGACGGAAACACGUGAAUAUGUAAAAAGAAACACAUGAAAUGAAAAUGAUGUCACACAAACGCUACAUAUCAUCCGGACAGACGAGGGGUGCUGAAAGAAGGUCAUAUCUUAAAGCAUCACACCUCAAAAUUCGUGCUAAUUCUCAUGGAUGUCUAAAAGUAUAACUUUGUGAAGUAACUAAAAGGCAGCAAUUUAUACAUUACUGACAAUUAUCAAAGGAGGUCAAAAUAUGCAAAAUGGCACUAAAUGUUUUAGAAAUGCUGUAGAAAUAUAGUUAAAGUACUGAAAAUCUGUCAUAAAUUGCUUGAAACAUUAUUAUCAGAAUCUUUUAACUUUUCUUAAAAUUAUAAUAUUUUCAUUGUUUUAUUUGAUAAGGCAAACUUUGAUAGAAAUGUGCAUACAUUGUUUUGUUCUUUAAUAUUUGUACAUGUUUUCUUAGUUUCAUUUAUGUCAUUGUUUUUGUAAUACUUUUUGUUUUGUAAUUAACUUAUUUUAUGUUUUAUUUUGUUUAAUUUAUGAAAAUUAUUUAACCUUGCAGAAUUUACUAAAAUUGUAUGUAUCAGCUUAAAAUUGCAACUUUUAUCUUAAAUUAAAAAAGCAUGAAACAUAUUUUUGCCUUUUAGUUUUCUGU
Long non-coding RNA from Ruditapes philippinarum (Manila clam), 802 nucleotides. RefSeq lists it as uncharacterized. The transcript is spliced from 3 exons. Lineage: Eukaryota; Metazoa; Mollusca; Bivalvia; Venerida; Veneridae. The record is from RefSeq and is a predicted model, not a curated record.